This 524-nucleotide ribosomal RNA is filed under the name Arothron sp. BDU-DMSRRK02. Its description in RNAcentral is "SSU rRNA". It matches the Rfam family "Eukaryotic small subunit ribosomal RNA", at positions 48 to 529 of the family's 1831-position model. Lineage: Eukaryota; Metazoa; Chordata; Actinopteri; Tetraodontiformes; Tetraodontidae. The record is from RNAcentral.
GCCAUGCAAGUCUAAGUACGCACGGUCGGUACAGUGAAACUGCGAAUGGCUCAUUAAAUCAGUUAUGGUUCCUUUGAUCGCUCUACCGUUACUUGGAUAACUGUGGCAAUUCUAGAGCUAAUACAUGCCAACGAGCGCUGACCUCCGGGGAUGCGUGCAUUUAUCAGACCCAAAACCCAUGCGGGGCCCGCCUGCCCCCCGCCCCCGGGCGGGGGACGGCUCCCCGGCCGCUUUGGUGACUCUAGAUAACCUCGAGCCGAUCGCUGGCCCUCAGGUGGCGGCGACGUCUCAUUCGAAUGUCUGCCCUAUCAACUUUCGAUGGUACGCUCUGUGCCUACCAUGGUGACCACGGGUAACGGGGAAUCAGGGUUCGAUUCCGGAGAGGGAGCCUGAGAAACGGCUACCACAUCCAAGGAAGGCAGCAGGCGCGCAAAUUACCCACUCCCGACGCGGGGAGGUAGUGACGAAAAAUAACAAUACAGGACUCUUUCGAGGCCCUGUAAUUGGAAUGAGUACACUUUAAA